GACGAACGCUGGCGGCGUGCUUAACACAUGCAAGUCGAGCGGUAAGGCCCUUUCGGGGUACACGAGCGGCGAACGGGUGAGUAACACGUGGGUGACCUGCCCUCAGCUCUGGGAUAAGCCUGGGAAACCGGGUCUAAUACCGGAUAUGACUCCAUGACGCAUGUUGUGGGGUGGAAAGCCUUGUGCGGCUGAGGAUGGGCCCGCGGCCUAUCAGCUUGUUGGUGGGGUGAGGCCUACCAAGGCGACGACGGGUAGCCGGCCUGAGAGGGCGACCGGCCACACUGGGACUGAGACACGGCCCAGACUCCUACGGGAGGC
Molecule: ribosomal RNA, 318 nt
Filed under: uncultured bacterium
Lineage: Bacteria
Description: bacterial SSU rRNA
Rfam family: Bacterial small subunit ribosomal RNA
Source: RNAcentral